This 253-nucleotide ribosomal RNA is filed under the name uncultured bacterium. RNAcentral's name for it is "partial 16S ribosomal RNA". It matches the Rfam family "Bacterial small subunit ribosomal RNA", at positions 524 to 776 of the family's 1533-position model. The record is from RNAcentral.
UACGAAGGGGGCUAGCGUUGUUCGGAAUGACUGGGCGUAAAGCGCACGUAGGCGGACAUUUAAGUCAGGGGUGAAAUCCCGGGGCUCAACCUCGGAACUGCCUUUGAUACUGGGUGUCUGGAGUGUGGAAGAGGUGAGUGGAAUUCCGAGUGUAGAGGUGAAAUUCGUAGAUAUUCGGAGGAACACCAGUGGCGAAGGCGGCUCACUGGUCCACAACUGACGCUGAGGUGCGAAAGCGUGGGGAGCAAACAGG